GGAUGAACGCUGGCGGCGUGCUUGAUACAUGCAAGUCGAACGGAGAGUGUAGCAAUAUACUUUUAGUGGCGAACGGGUGAGUAACGCGUUGGUGAUCUGCCCCGGAGUGGGGAAUAACUAUCGGAAACGAUAGCUAAUACCCCAGAUGUCUUCGUGUUUGGAAAGCGAUGACUAAAGUUCAGGCGCUCCGGGAGGAGCCUGCGUCCCAUCAGCUAGUUGGUAGGGUAAUGGCCUACCAAGGCACAGACGGGUAGGGGGCGUGAGAGCGUGGCCCCCCACACUGGUACUGACACACGGACCAGAUGCCUACGGGUAGCAGCAGCUAGGAAUAUUGGGCAAUGGGCGAAAGCCUGACCCAGCAACACCGCGUGAAGGACGAAAGCCUUCGGGUUGUAAACUUCUUUUCGAGGGAAUGAGAAAGGACAGUACCCUCGGAAUAAGGCCCGGCUAACUACGUGCCAGCAGCCGCGGUAAUACGUAGGGGCCAAGCGUUAUCCGGAUUUACUGGGCGUAAAGCGCAUGUAGGCGGUUGACUAAGUCGGAUGUGAAAGCUCCUGGCUUAACUGGGAGAGGCCAUUCGAAACUAGUCGGCUGGAGGGUGGUAGAGGAGAGCGGAAUUCCAGGUGUAGCGGUGAAAUGCGCAGAUAUCUGGAGGAACACCAGUGGCGAAGGCGGCCUCCUGGACCAUUCCUGACACUCAGACGCGAAAGCUAGGGUAGCAAACGGAAUUAGAGACUCCGGUAGUCCUAGCCCUAAACGAUGCAGACUAGGCGUCGGCGGUUUAAUCACCGUCGGUGUCCAAGCUAACGCGAUAAGUCUGCCGCCUGAGGACUACGGCCGCAAGGCUAAAACUCAAAGGAAUUGACGGGUCCCCGCACAAGCAGCGGAGCGUGUGGUUUAAUUCGAUGCUCCGCGAAAAACCUUACCUGGGUUUGACAUAACAGUGGUAGAGAAGUGAAAACGGACCGACCCCUCGGGGAGCUGUUACAGGUGUUGCAUGGCUGUCGUCAGCUCGUGCCGUGAGGUGUUGGGUUAAGUCCCGCAACGAGCGCAACCCUCAUCCUUAGUUGCCAUCAUUGAGUUGGGCACCCUAAGGAAACUGCCGCAGUUAAUGCGGAGGAAGGUGGGGAUGACGUCAAGUCCUCAUGGCCCUUAUACCCAGGGCUACACACGUGCUACAAUGGACGGUACAAAGGGUUGCAAACCUGCGAAGGGGAGCUAAUCCCACAAAGCCGUUCUCAGUUCGGAUUGGAGUCUGCAACCCGACUCCAUGAAGCUGGAAUCGCUAGUAAUCGCGGAUCAGCAUGCCGCGGUGAAUACGUUCCCGGGCCU
This 1332-nucleotide ribosomal RNA is filed under the name uncultured bacterium. Its description in RNAcentral is "bacterial SSU rRNA". It matches the Rfam family "Bacterial small subunit ribosomal RNA", at positions 27 to 1381 of the family's 1533-position model. The record is from RNAcentral.